RNAcentral lists this ribosomal RNA (800 nucleotides) under Arthrocladium tardum. Its description in RNAcentral is "LSU rRNA". It matches the Rfam family "Eukaryotic large subunit ribosomal RNA", at positions 66 to 884 of the family's 3401-position model. Lineage: Eukaryota; Fungi; Ascomycota; Eurotiomycetes; Chaetothyriales; Trichomeriaceae. The record is from RNAcentral.
CAACAGGGAUGCCUCACGUAACGUGCGAGUGAAGCGGCAACAGCUCAAAUUUGAAAUCUGGCCUCACGGCCCGAGUUGUAAUUUGUAGAGGAUGUUUUGGGUACCGCCGCGGUUUAAAUUUCUUGGAACAGAAUGUCAAAGAGGGUGAGAAUCCCGUCUUGGACCGCGGUAGGGCCUGUGUAAAACUCCUUCGACGAGUCGACUUGUUUGGGAAUGCAGGUCAAAAUGGGUGGUAAAUUUCAUCUAAAGCUAAAUAUUGGCCAGAGACCGAUAGCGCACAAGUAGAGUGAUCGAAAGAUGAAAAGCACUUUGAAAAGAGAGUUAAACAGUAUGUGAAAUUGUUGAAAGGGAAGCGCUGGCAACCAGACUCGUGCGCGGGGUUCCCCUCAGUUUCGGCUGGGGCUACUUCCCCGUGUCCGGGCCAUCAUCAGUUUUGGGGGUCGGUCAAAGGUUUCAGGAAUGUAUCCACGCCUUCGGGGGUGGACUUAUAGCCUGGAGCGUCAUGCGGCCACCUGGGACUGAGGAACGCGCUUCGGCGAGGAUGAUGGCGUAAUGGUUGUCAGCGACCCGUCUUGAAACACGGACCAAGGAGUCUAACAUCUAUGCGAGUGUUCGGGUGUCAAACCCUUGCGCGGAAUGAAAGUGAACGGAGGUAGGAAGGCUUUAGCCUGCACUAUCGACCGAUCCGGAUGUCUUCGGAUGGAUUUGAGUAAGAGCAUAGCUGUUGGGACCCGAAAGAUGGUGAACUAUGCGUGAAUAGGGUGAAGCCAGAGGAAACUCUGGUGGAGGCUCGCAGCGGU